UGUCUCUUAAAAACUUGAGUGGCGGUUUAUCACAACCAGUUACAGAUUUCUUUGUUCCUUCUCCACUCCCACUGCUUCCUUUGACUGGCAUUUG
RNAcentral lists this small RNA (94 nucleotides) under Nomascus leucogenys (northern white-cheeked gibbon). Its description in RNAcentral is "Y RNA (ENSNLEG00000025546.2)". The record is from RNAcentral. Lineage: Eukaryota; Metazoa; Chordata; Mammalia; Primates; Hylobatidae.